This 222-nucleotide non-coding RNA is filed under the name Turicibacter sanguinis. Its description in RNAcentral is "T-box sequence". It matches the Rfam family "T-box leader". Rfam says of the family: Uncharged tRNA acts as the effector for transcription antitermination of genes in the T-box leader family. T-boxes are found upstream of many aminoacyl-tRNA synthetase genes and some amino acid biosynthetic genes usually in Gram-positive bacteria. The anticodon of a specific tRNA base pairs to a specifier sequence within the T-box motif, and the NCCA acceptor tail of the tRNA base pairs to a conserved bulge in the T-box antiterminator hairpin. The record is from RNAcentral. Lineage: Bacteria; Bacillati; Bacillota; Erysipelotrichia; Erysipelotrichales; Turicibacteraceae.
AUAUUCGCGUUGAAAAGGAAUAGUAAAGACUUCCCUUUUUUGUAGAGAGAGAAUGGUUGGUGAAAAUUCUCAAAAAGGUGUCUUGAACCAGCCUUGGAGCCCUGUACCGAAAACUUGAAGUAGGCUAUAGCGAUUCAUCUCGUUAUCGAUGAAAAAGAUGUGAUCAUAGUGCCAUGGAAUAUGAUCAUAAUUAGGGUGGUACCGCCGAUUUUGGCCCCUUGC